CUUUCUUUGCUGGCGACCGGCGCACGGGUGAGUAACACGUAUCCAACCUGCCCUUUACUCGGGGAUAGCCUUUCGAAAGAAAGAUUAAUACCCGAUAGCAUAAUGAUUCCGCAUGGUUUCAUUAUUAAAGGAUUCCGGUAAAGGAUGGGGAUGCGUUCCAUUAAGUUGUUGGUGAGGUAACGGCUCACCAAGCCUUCGAUGGAUAGGGGUUCUGAGAGGAAGGUCCCCCACAUUGGAACUGAGACACGGUCCAA
This 254-nucleotide ribosomal RNA is filed under the name uncultured bacterium. RNAcentral describes it as "partial 16S ribosomal RNA". It matches the Rfam family "Bacterial small subunit ribosomal RNA", at positions 79 to 334 of the family's 1533-position model. The record is from RNAcentral.